UUUGUUUCUCUGUAAAUUACAAAAGGAAACUUCCCUUGGUAGACGUUGCAGAUAGCCAUAACCACCUCGCAGCCGCCCGAUACUUGGAUACGAUAAUUAAUUUAAAGAUCACGUUGAAGCAGGAACUGAAGAAGAUUGAAGAAGGUCGGUCAUGGGUCAUCAUCUGCAUCCUCAUCAAUAUUAUACUCACGGCCAAUAUCAUCCUCAUCCUCAUCCUCAUCCUCAUUCUCAUCCUGCAUUGAUCUCGAGUUGUUGUUUAUUCAGUUGUAUUGGAAGAUGGAUGUUCGCGAUUUGUCACCCAGUCGUGCGUUUCUUUGGAUGGGAGGAUGAUCGAGCAUGUACAACUUCUAAUUAAGCUUAAUUCUUCGUUUAUUUAAUUUAUAAGAAUGCAAAGUUUGCAUGUAAUUAAUUAGUUCAAAUGAUCAUGGAGUAGUAGUUUUGUGGA
This is a long non-coding RNA of Juglans regia (Persian walnut), 445 nucleotides long. RefSeq lists it as uncharacterized. The transcript has 2 exons. The record is from RefSeq and is a predicted model, not a curated record. Lineage: Eukaryota; Viridiplantae; Streptophyta; Magnoliopsida; Fagales; Juglandaceae.